Molecule: ribosomal RNA, 498 nt
Filed under: uncultured bacterium
Lineage: Bacteria
Description: partial 16S ribosomal RNA
Rfam family: Bacterial small subunit ribosomal RNA
Source: RNAcentral
GAUGAACGCUGGCGGCGUGCCUAAUACAUGCAAGUCGAGCGAACGGACGAGAAGCUUGCUUCUCUGAUGUUAGCGGCGGACGGGUGAGUAACACGUGGAUAACCUACCUAUAAGACUGGGAUAACUUCGGGAAACCGUAGCUAAUACCGGAUAAUAUUUUGAACCGCAUGGUUCAAAAGUGAAAGACGGUCUUGCUGUCACUUAUAGAUGGAUCCGCGCUGCAUUAGCUAGUUGGUAAGGUAACGGCUUACCAAGGCAACGAUGCAUAGCCGACCUGAGAGGGUGAUCGGCCACACUGGAACUGAGACACGGUCCAGACUCCUACGGGAGGCAGCAGUAGGGAAUCUUCCGCAAUGGGCGAAAGCCUGACGGAGCAACGCCGCGUGAGGGAUGAAGGUCUUCGGAUCGUAAAACUCUGUUAUUAGGGAAGAACAUAUGUGUAAGUAACUGGGCACAUCUUGACGGUACCUAAUCAGAAAGCCACGGCUAACUACGUGC